RNAcentral lists this ribosomal RNA (252 nucleotides) under Rhipicephalus camicasi. RNAcentral describes it as "partial large subunit ribosomal RNA". Lineage: Eukaryota; Metazoa; Arthropoda; Arachnida; Ixodida; Ixodidae. The record is from RNAcentral.
AAUGCUAAGAGAAUGGAAAUUCAGAAAAAAACUUUCUUUAAAUUAAAAAUUGAAGUUUUUUUAAUUUGUGCAGAAACAAUUAUUAAUAUUAAGGACAAGAAGACCCUACGAAUUUAUUAAAUUUUAUUUAAUAUGUAAUUACUAUUAAUAAAAUUUUGACUGGGGCGGUUAAAAAAUAUUUCAAACUUUUUAAGAAUAAAAUGACCCAUUAUUAGUGAUUUUAUGUUAAAUACUCUAGGGAUAACAGCGUAA